Molecule: ribosomal RNA, 464 nt
Filed under: uncultured bacterium
Lineage: Bacteria
Description: partial 16S ribosomal RNA
Rfam family: Bacterial small subunit ribosomal RNA
Source: RNAcentral
GACGAACGCUGGCGGCGUGCUUAACACAUGCAAGUCGAACGGUAAGGCCCCAGCUUGCUGGGGUACACGAGUGGCGAACGGGUGAGUAACACGUGGGUGACCUGCCCCGCACUUCGGGAUAAGCCUGGGAAACUGGGUCUAAUACCGGAUAGGACCGCACCGUGAGGGUGUGGUGGAAAGUUUUUCGGUGUGGGAUGGGCCCGCGGCCUAUCAGCUUGUUGGUGGGGUAAUGGCCUACCAAGGCGGCGACGGGUAGCCGGCCUGAGAGGGUGGACGGCCACAUUGGGACUGAGAAACGGCCCAGACUCCUACGGGAGGCAGCAGUGGGGAAUAUUGCACAAUGGGCGGAAGCCUGAUGCAGCGACGCCGCGUGGGGGAUGACGGCCUUCGGGUUGUAAACUCCUUUCACCAUCGACGAAGGUUUUCUGACGGUAGAUGGAGAAGAAGCACCGGCUAACUACGUG